This 69-nucleotide transfer RNA is filed under the name Tapena vasava (tawny angle). Its description in RNAcentral is "Ctenoptilum vasava (tawny angle) tRNA-Gln". Lineage: Eukaryota; Metazoa; Arthropoda; Insecta; Lepidoptera; Hesperiidae. The record is from RNAcentral.
UAUAUUUUAGUGUAAGAUGCACAAUAUUUUUUGAUAUUAUUAGAUAUAGUUUAAUUCUAUAAAAUAUAA